This 503-nucleotide ribosomal RNA is filed under the name uncultured bacterium. RNAcentral's name for it is "bacterial SSU rRNA". It matches the Rfam family "Bacterial small subunit ribosomal RNA", at positions 21 to 518 of the family's 1533-position model. The record is from RNAcentral.
GGCUCAGGAUGAACGCUAGCGGCAGGCUUAACACAUGCAAGUCGAGGGGCAUCGGGAGUAGCAAUACUUGCCGGCGACCGGCGCAAGGGUGCGUAACGCGUGAGCAACAUGCCCGUAUCAGGGGGAUAAUCCAUGGAAACGUGGUCUAAUACCCCAUAGUAAUUAUGUAAGGCAUCUUAUAUAAUUUAAAGCUUUGGUGGAUACGGAUUGGCUCGCGUGACAUUAGCUAGAUGGUAAGGUAACGGCUUACCAUGGCUACGAUGUCUAGGGGUUCUGAGAGGAAGGUCCCCCACACUGGAACUGAGACACGGUCCAGACUCCUACGGGAGGCAGCAGUGAGGAAUAUUGGACAAUGGAUGGAAAUCUGAUCCAGCCAUGCCGCGUGCAAGGAAGACGGCCCUAUGGGUUGUAAACUGCUUUUGUAUGGGAGCAAUAAGGGCUACGUGUAGUCCGAUGAGAGUACCAUACGAAUAAGCACCGGCUAACUCCGUGCCAGCCGCCGC